Molecule: long non-coding RNA, 308 nt
Filed under: Bos taurus (domestic cattle)
Lineage: Eukaryota; Metazoa; Chordata; Mammalia; Artiodactyla; Bovidae
Description: long non-coding RNA NONBTAT024476
Source: RNAcentral
GGUUUAUCCUUUUUAAUUUGUGGAUUCUUCCCUAUAGCAAAAGUAACCCUUAUAAGUUCUAUGCUACGAAGUUUUUCUCAUAUCUAUCAUUUUGUUUUGUUUAUGAUGUCUUGAACUGUAGCAAAGUUUCAAAUUUUUCAUGUAAUUAAAUGUCUUUUACUUUAUGGCUUUUGAGUUUUAUGGCUUAUUUUGGAAGGUCUCUGUACACUCUAUACUUAAACAGAAAUUCUUUGCUGGAUUUUAUAUGUAUGUCUUGCAUUUCAAUGCAUUUACAUCUUUUUGAUUGAUUAGAAUUUAUGUAUGGCAUG